AGCACAUCGCCUCAGAAUGAGUGCACCUGGGAGAUUAUGCGGGGAAUUGAAGAUGAACAUCAAUUUACUUGGGCCUGAAAAUAAAAGUUUCAUGGCAAGAAAAAUCAGUAAUGCGAAUCUUCCUUUGAACUUGGAGGUUUGAGGACAUUGAGGAAAAAUAUUGAGAGUCAUGCCUGCAGGUCACUGUCAUUGUCCCUGAAAUACUUUUUGAAUCGUACUAUCAGAAAAUAAUGAUCUUGGGGUUGAAGAGAUGACUAGCAGGAUAUCCAGAAGCUGCCCUGAAUCAUGGAGAUCCUGUGGGUAUGGAUUAUAAGCUUCAUGGGUCAACCCAAGAACCAGCUAUGGGCCU
Long non-coding RNA from Arvicola amphibius (Eurasian water vole), 349 nucleotides. RefSeq lists it as uncharacterized. The record is from RefSeq and is a predicted model, not a curated record. NCBI's taxonomy places the organism in Eukaryota, Metazoa, Chordata, Mammalia, Rodentia, Cricetidae. The transcript has 3 exons.